This 253-nucleotide ribosomal RNA is filed under the name uncultured bacterium. Its description in RNAcentral is "partial 16S ribosomal RNA". It matches the Rfam family "Bacterial small subunit ribosomal RNA", at positions 524 to 776 of the family's 1533-position model. The record is from RNAcentral.
UACGUAGGUGGCAAGCGUUAUCCGGAUUUAUUGGGCGUAAAGGGAACGCAGGCGGUCUUUUAAGUCUGAUGUGAAAGCCUUCGGCUUAACCGGAGUAGUGCAUUGGAAACUGGGAGACUUGAGUGCAGAAGAGGAGAGUGGAACUCCAUGUGUAGCGGUGAAAUGCGUAGAUAUAUGGAAGAACACCAGUGGCGAAAGCGGCUCUCUGGUCUGUAACUGACGCUGAGGCACGAAAGCGUGGGGAGCAAAUAGG